RNAcentral lists this ribosomal RNA (253 nucleotides) under uncultured bacterium. RNAcentral describes it as "partial 16S ribosomal RNA". It matches the Rfam family "Bacterial small subunit ribosomal RNA", at positions 524 to 776 of the family's 1533-position model. The record is from RNAcentral.
UACGUAGGGUGCAAGCGUUGUCCGGAAUUAUUGGGCGUAAAGAGCUCGUAGGCGGUCUGUCGCGUCUGCUGUGAAAACUCGGGGCUUAACCCCGGGCCUGCAGUGGGUACGGGCAGACUAGAGGUAUGCAGGGGAGAACGGAAUUCCUGGUGUAGCGGUGAAAUGCGCAGAUAUCAGGAGGAACACCGGUGGCGAAGGCGGGUCUCUGGGCCGUAACUGACGCUGAGGAGCGAAAGCGUGGGGAGCGAACAGG